UACGUAGGGGGCAAGCGUUGUCUGGAUUUAUUGGGCGUAAAGAGCGUGUAGGCGGCUUUACAGGUCCGUUGUGAAAACUCGAGGCUCAACCUCGAGACGCCGGUGGAAACCGUAAAGCUAGAGUCCGGAAGAGGAGAGUGGAAUUCCUGGUGUAGCGGUGAAAUGCGCAGAUAUCAGGAGGAACACCCGUGGCGAAAGCGGCUCUCUGGGACGGUACUGACGCUGAGACGCGAAAGCGUGGGGAGCGAACAGG
Molecule: ribosomal RNA, 253 nt
Filed under: uncultured bacterium
Lineage: Bacteria
Description: partial 16S ribosomal RNA
Rfam family: Bacterial small subunit ribosomal RNA
Source: RNAcentral